RNAcentral lists this ribosomal RNA (253 nucleotides) under uncultured bacterium. RNAcentral describes it as "partial 16S ribosomal RNA". It matches the Rfam family "Bacterial small subunit ribosomal RNA", at positions 524 to 776 of the family's 1533-position model. The record is from RNAcentral.
UACGAAGGGGGCUAGCGUUGCUCGGAAUCACUGGGCGUAAAGCGCGCGUAGGCGGCUUUGCAAGCCGGAUGUGAAAUCCCCGGGCUUAACCUGGGAACUGCAUUCGGGACUGCAUUGCUAGAGUAUGGGAGAGGGAAGUGGAAUUUCAGGUGUAGCGGUGAAAUGCGUAGAUAUCUGAAGGAACAUCAGUGGCGAAAGCGACUUCCUGGACCAAUACUGACGCUCAUGUGCGAAAGCGUGGGGAGCAAACAGG